UCGUUACAGAUUGGUAUCAGAGCCCUAGGUUCACAUGAUCGGACCUAUAGAGACAAUGUCAGGCGCAUAGAGGUUAAAAGUGGUCAAGCACAAUAGGAAAUCAUGUCCACUAGGAUAGGGUUUUGAGUCCUAUCUGUGAUAUGCCAUGAGUUAUGCAUGUGCUUUAUUGAUGUUUAUGUGCUAAAGUGCUAUGUUAUGUGUUGUUUUCCAGCGAGUAAAGAUGAGAGGAACUCGUCGAUCAGCUCG
This 246-nucleotide long non-coding RNA is filed under the name Manihot esculenta (cassava). RNAcentral's name for it is "long non-coding RNA (MESC_LNC012205)". Lineage: Eukaryota; Viridiplantae; Streptophyta; Magnoliopsida; Malpighiales; Euphorbiaceae. The record is from RNAcentral.